Molecule: transfer RNA, 66 nt
Filed under: Cyrtotrachelus buqueti
Lineage: Eukaryota; Metazoa; Arthropoda; Insecta; Coleoptera; Curculionidae
Description: tRNA-Phe
Rfam family: tRNA
About the family: Transfer RNA (tRNA) molecules are approximately 80 nucleotides in length. Their secondary structure includes four short double-helical elements and three loops (D, anti-codon, and T loops). Further hydrogen bonds mediate the characteristic L-shaped molecular structure. tRNAs have two regions of fundamental functional importance: the anti-codon, which is responsible for specific mRNA codon recognition, and the 3' end, to which the tRNAs corresponding amino acid is attached (by aminoacyl-tRNA synthetases). tRNAs cope with the degeneracy of the genetic code in two manners: having more than one tRNA (with a specific anti-codon) for a particular amino acid; and 'wobble' base-pairing, i.e. permitting non-standard base-pairing at the 3rd anti-codon position.
Source: RNAcentral
ACUUAAAUAGCUUAUUUAGAGCAUAGCACUGAAAAUGCUAUGGAAAUAUUUUUAUAUUUUUAGGUA